Molecule: transfer RNA, 76 nt
Filed under: Porphyrobacter sp.
Lineage: Bacteria; Pseudomonadati; Pseudomonadota; Alphaproteobacteria; Sphingomonadales; Erythrobacteraceae
Description: tRNA-Ile
Rfam family: tRNA
About the family: Transfer RNA (tRNA) molecules are approximately 80 nucleotides in length. Their secondary structure includes four short double-helical elements and three loops (D, anti-codon, and T loops).
Source: RNAcentral
GGGCCUGUAGCUCAGCGGUUAGAGCUGACCGCUCAUAACGGUUAGGUCGCAGGUUCGAAUCCUGCCGGGCCCACCA